This 437-nucleotide long non-coding RNA is filed under the name Mus musculus (house mouse). RNAcentral's name for it is "predicted gene, 47352". The record is from RNAcentral. Lineage: Eukaryota; Metazoa; Chordata; Mammalia; Rodentia; Muridae.
CGCUCGCCCGCAGCUGGGGUGUACUGCAACAGCCAGCCUCACUACGGAAGGGUUCUGGUGAGCCAACUGAGGUCAUUAGCCCUGGAGACAAGUACUUUUGGAGGCUAAGCCAGCCAGCCAGCCCUGUCAUCACUUGUGCUGUGACUUAUGACAGAGCAUGUAAGGUUUCUUCUGAGAAUCAGUGUUUUCCUGGAGGAAGAAAUGAGAAAAUAUCAACCACACACACUCAGGACUGAAAAACUCCAAACCUUAAAGUAAUAUCUUCUCUAAUGGAUAGUAAAAUGAAUCCAUGAAUUUAUCUGCAUGAUAAAAACUCAGCAUGAAAUCAAAUAGUUCCCUCUGUAAUGAUUACAUAUGACCAUACCAGAGCAUUGAGUCUGUGCUUAUUACAUAACCACGCCUGAGUAGGACAGCUGACCUUCAAACACAAAUACGAU